AGCGAACGCUGGCGGCAGGCCUAACACAUGCAAGUCGAACGAAGUCGUCGGACUUAGUGGCGGACGGGUGAGGAACACGUGGGAACGGGCCUUUAGGGUCGGAAUAACUCAGGGAAACUUGUGCUAAUACCGAAUGUGCCCUUCGGGGGAAAGAUUUAUCGCCUUUAGAGCGGCCCGCGUCUGAUUAGGUAGUUGGUGAGGGAAAGGCUCACCAAGGCGACGAUCAGUAGCUGGUCUGAGAGGAUGAUCAGCCACAUUGGGACUGAGAAACGGCCCAAACUCCUACGGGAGGCAGCAGUGGGGAAUCUUGCGCAAUGGGCGAAAGCCUGACGCAGCCAUGCCGCGUGAAUGAUGAAGGUCUUAGGAUUGUAAAAUUCUUUCACCGGGGACGAUAAUGACGGUACCCGGAGAAGAAGCCCCGGCUAACUUCGUGCCAGCCGCCGCCGUAA
This 449-nucleotide ribosomal RNA is filed under the name uncultured bacterium. Its description in RNAcentral is "partial 16S ribosomal RNA". It matches the Rfam family "Bacterial small subunit ribosomal RNA", at positions 29 to 523 of the family's 1533-position model. The record is from RNAcentral.